AGUGAACGCUGGCGGUAGGCCUAACACAUGCAAGUCGAACGGCAGCACAGUAAGAGCUUGCUCUUACGGGUGGCGAGUGGCGGACGGGUGAGGAAUACAUCGGAAUCUACUUUUUCGUGGGGGAUAACGUAGGGAAACUUACGCUAAUACCGCAUACGACCUACGGGUGAAAGCAGGGGAUCUUCGGACCUUGCGCGAUUGAAUGAGCCGAUGUCGGAUUAGCUAGUUGGCGGGGUAAAGGCCCACCAAGGCGACGAUCCGUAGCUGGUCUGAGAGGAUGAUCAUACACACUUGAACUGAGACACGGUCCAGACUCCUACGGGAGUCAGCAGUGGGGAAUAUUGGACAAUGGGCGCAAGCCUGAUCCAGCGAUACCGCGUGGGUGAAGAAGGCCUUCUGGUUGUAAAGCCCUUUUGUUGGGAAAGAAAAGCAGCAGGUUAAUACCCCGCUGUUCUGACGGUACCCAAAGAAUAAGCAACGGCUAACUUCAUG
This 492-nucleotide ribosomal RNA is filed under the name uncultured bacterium. Its description in RNAcentral is "partial 16S ribosomal RNA". It matches the Rfam family "Bacterial small subunit ribosomal RNA", at positions 29 to 507 of the family's 1533-position model. The record is from RNAcentral.